CAGCAGCCGCGGUAAUACGAGGGGGGCAAGCGUUGUUCGGAAUUAUUGGGCGUAAAGGGUGCGUAGGCGGCUCAGCAAGUCUCGUGUGAAAUCUUCGGGCUCAACCCGAAGUCUGCACGGGAAACUACUGGGCUUGAGUAAUGGAGAGGUGAGUGGAAUUUCCGGUGUAGCGGUGAAAUGCGUAGAUAUCGGAAGGAACACCUGUGGCGAAAGCGGCUCACUGGACAUUUACUGACGCUGAUGCACGAAAGCUAGGGGAGCAAACAGGAUUAGAUACCCCCGUAGUCCCUGUCUCUUAUAC
RNAcentral lists this ribosomal RNA (301 nucleotides) under uncultured bacterium. Its description in RNAcentral is "partial 16S ribosomal RNA". It matches the Rfam family "Bacterial small subunit ribosomal RNA", at positions 509 to 807 of the family's 1533-position model. The record is from RNAcentral.